This 250-nucleotide ribosomal RNA is filed under the name uncultured prokaryote. RNAcentral's name for it is "partial 16S ribosomal RNA". It matches the Rfam family "Bacterial small subunit ribosomal RNA", at positions 524 to 773 of the family's 1533-position model. The record is from RNAcentral.
UACGUAGGUGGCGAGCGUUGUCCGGAUUUACUGGGUGUAAAGGGCGAGUAGGCGGGGAUUCAAGUCAGAUGUGAAAUACCGAGGCUUAACUUCGGAGCUGCAUUUGAAACUGGAUUUCUUGAGUGAUGGAGAGGCAGGCGGAAUUCCCGGUGUAGCGGUGAAAUGCAUAGAGAUCGGGAGGAACACCAGUGGCGAAGGCGGCCUGCUGGACAUUAACUGACGCUGAGGCGCGAAAGUGUGGGGAGCAAAC